AGAAAUCCGGAUUUGCGCUUCAAGGAGGAAGGCAGGAAGCGAGGCGAGUCGGAGCGGCUUCUCACAUUCAAAGAAACCCCCCCAAAGGAGGCGAAAUGGGUCCCUCCCGUCUUUUUUCCACGCAGAGCGGGGCAGGAAAGAAAAGAAGCCCGACACGGGAUCGGCCCCAGCUCCGGCGGCUGGGAUUUUAUUUGGGGGGGGGGGUUUCGCGUGUCGGGAGCCGCCUGCAGACGGACGAACGGACGGACGGAACCUGGAGACUUUGCUUUGCCUUGGAAGGUCGUGGGAACGGGGAGAGAAAGCGAGAAAGAAGCGGGUAAAGGGGCCAGAUUUUCCUCCCCGGAGAAGGACGGUCGGGUUUCGGCUGGUCGGAGAGCGAAGCCCACCCCGGGAGAGAAGAGGCACCCCAUCGUGGUGGUGGGACUUCCCGAAGGAUUCGCGUGUCUUCUUCAUCGCCCCGGACGGGACACCCCAUGAUCCCACCCCGCAAGGGACAAGUCUCCGCCGCCGCACCCCGCUUUUGCAGAGAGAGUGGGAUCUGGUAGUAGGGAGGGGGACGCAAGAGCGAAGCAGGCCGGAGCAACGACCGGCCUUUCUGGAAGCCUCGCCCCGCGUUUUUAUGGGGCGCCGGGUGAGGAGGAGGAGGAGGAAGAGGGGAUAGCCGUGCCGUGUGCCAGGCAUUGGAAGGGCGGACGGGGCACGGAUGGAUGGCCUCUAUGGCGUUUGGAGGACGGUGAGCCCUUAAGAAACUCUGAAUUUUUAAGACCGGUCCGGCACGAAUCGCAGCGGAGAACCAAUUAAUACAUGUAAAUGACCCAUCAAAGAGGAGGCUGAUUUUUUCCCCCUCCCCUCUCCGAGCCCCGUUUGUGAAAGUUUGGCUGUGAUGCUCACCUCGGUCUGCACACAAUUGCACCUUUACAAAGAGAAAGUGACGGAGUUGCAGAAGUGAAAGGCACCCAAGCGUUUGCAAAGGGAUUUUGUGGCUGAGCGAAAUAUGCCUCUACAGCAUCGCAUUAUCAGAUCUCGGAGUUCAAGCAGGAUUCCAGAGACACCCCAAUUUUUUCGUCCAGGGUCUCCAAGCAAAUCUCCCAUUUUUCUUUCUUUUUGGGUCGCGAAUUUGACGGACAGAAGUGAAGACCACAAGGGGCUUCUGUGAUGGGCGGAGUUUCAAUUGGGCCGUCGUGGCUGCCAUUUUGACUUUUUUGACUUUACCUGCGUCUGCAAGGCAUUGGAGAUUCCUUGUCCUUCACCAAGAGGAACAAUUGUGUCGUGCAAUAUAUAUUUAUAUAUUUUAGGUAGGACUGCAAGGGAAAAAAGCAAGCUUUUAAAGCAUGUGGGAGACAAUAUGCUUAAUUUAACCUGAACAAUCAAAUUGAUGGGUGAAUUAAUCAUCAUUGUUUCGCCUUUUGUGCUCAUUUCCGUAAAAAUGUUCCUUUCUGAACUUAAAGGGAUUUAUUAUCAAAUAAAAAAUAUACAGGGUUGUCCAAUUCUGAAGAAA
Molecule: long non-coding RNA, 1498 nt
Organism: Pantherophis guttatus
Lineage: Eukaryota; Metazoa; Chordata; Lepidosauria; Squamata; Colubridae
Source: RefSeq, a predicted model, not a curated record